Molecule: ribosomal RNA, 799 nt
Filed under: soil bacterium Kana-S2N-M1LLLSSL-2
Lineage: Bacteria
Description: bacterial SSU rRNA
Rfam family: Bacterial small subunit ribosomal RNA
Source: RNAcentral
GUGGCGAGUGGCAGACGGGUGAGUAAUGUAUCGGAACGUGCCUAGUAGCGGGGGAUAACUACGCGAAAGCGUAGCUAAUACCGCAUACGCCCUACGGGGGAAAGCAGGGGAUCGCAAGACCUUGCACUAUUAGAGCGGCCGAUAUCGGAUUAGCUAGUUGGUGGGGUAACGGCUCACCAAGGCGACGAUCCGUAGCUGGUUUGAGAGGACGACCAGCCACACUGGGACUGAGACACGGCCCAGACUCCUACGGGAGGCAGCAGUGGGGAAUUUUGGACAAUGGGGGAAACCCUGAUCCAGCCAUCCCGCGUGUGCGAUGAAGGCCUUCGGGUUGUAAAGCACUUUUGGCAGGAAAGAAACGUCAUGGGUUAAUACCCCGUGAAACUGACGGUACCUGCAGAAUAAGCACCGGCUAACUACGUGCCAGCAGCCGCGGUAAUACGUAGGGUGCAAGCGUUAAUCGGAAUUACUGGGCGUAAAGCGUGCGCAGGCGGUUCGGAAAGAAAGAUGUGAAAUCCCAGAGCUUAACUUUGGAACUGCAUUUUUAACUACCGGGCUAGAGUGUGUCAGAGGGAGGUGGAAUUCCGCGUGUAGCAGUGAAAUGCGUAGAUAUGCGGAGGAACACCGAUGGCGAAGGCAGCCUCCUGGGAUAACACUGACGCUCAUGCACGAAAGCGUGNGGAGCAAACAGGAUUAGAUACCCUGGUAGUCCACGCCCUAAACGAUGUACACUAGCUGUUGGGGCCUUCGGGCCUUAGUAGCGCAGCUAACGCGUGAAGUUGACCGCCUGGGGAGUACG